Molecule: ribosomal RNA, 292 nt
Filed under: uncultured bacterium
Lineage: Bacteria
Description: partial 16S ribosomal RNA
Rfam family: Bacterial small subunit ribosomal RNA
Source: RNAcentral
GAUGAACGCUAGCGGCAGGCUUAAUACAUGCAAGUCGAGGGGCAGCACAGGUAGCAAUACUGGGUGGCGACCGGCAAACGGGUGCGCAACACGUACACAACCUUCCUGAGAGAGGGGGAUAGCCCAGAGAAAUUUGGAUUAAUACCCCGUAAGAUUGAGAAGUGGCAUCACUUUUUAAAUAAAGUCUCGCAAGAGGCGCUCUUAGAUGGGUGUGCGUCUGAUAGGUAGUUGGUUGAGGUAAAGGCUCACCAAGCCUUCGAUCAGUAACUGGUGUGAGAGCACGACCAGUCAC